Molecule: ribosomal RNA, 707 nt
Filed under: Achromobacter mucicolens
Lineage: Bacteria; Pseudomonadati; Pseudomonadota; Betaproteobacteria; Burkholderiales; Alcaligenaceae
Description: bacterial SSU rRNA
Rfam family: Bacterial small subunit ribosomal RNA
Source: RNAcentral
UGCAAGUCGAACGGCAGCACGGACUUCGGUCUGGUGCUUGGCGAACGGGUGAGUAAUGUAUCGGAACGUGCCUAGUAGCGGGGGAUAACUACGCGAAAGCGUAGCUAAUACCGCAUACGCCCUACGGGGGAAAGCAGGGGAUCGCAAGACCUUGCACUAUUAGAGCGGCCGAUAUCGGAUUAGCUAGUUGGUGGGGUAACGGCUCACCAAGGCGACGAUCCGUAGCUGGUUUGAGAGGACGACCAGCCACACUGGGACUGAGACACGGCCCAAACUCCUACGGGAGGCAGCAGUGGGGAAUUUUGGACAAUGGGGGAAACCCUGAUCCAGCCAUCCCGCGUGUGCGAUGAAGGCCUUCGGGUUGUAAAGCACUUUUGGCAGGAAAGAAACGUUCCGGGUUAAUACCCCGGGAAACUGACGGUACCUGCAAAAUAAGCACCGGCUAACUACGUGCCAGCAGCCGCGGUAAUACGUAGGGUGCAAGCGUUAAUCGGAAUUACUGGGCGUAAAGCGUGCGCAGGCGGUUCGGAAAGAAAGAUGUGAAAUCCCAGAGCUUAACUUUGGAACUGCAUUUUUAACUACCGAGCUAGAGUGUGUCAGAGGGAGGUGGAAUUCCGCGUGUAGCAGUGAAAUGCGUAAUAUGCGGAGGAACACCGAUGGCGAAGGCAGCCUCCUGGGAUAACACUGACGCUCAUGCACGAAAGCGU